GUGAAGGAAAUGAUGAUUAUGUUGAUAUUAGUAGUGGGAAAGCAGCAGCCAAAGGGUCGGGUACUACGGCGAGAGGAAGGAGGUUGUUGAAGGUUAGGGAGGAGAAGAGGAAACGGGAAUAUGAACGUCUUCACAAUUACCCUGCUUGGGCAAAAGUGUUGGAAGAUGCCUGUAAACAUGAUACAGAGCUUCGUGCUGUGCUUGGUGAUAGCAUUGGAAAUCCAGAGCUUAUGAGGAAAAAGGUCGAAGAGAGAGUUCGAACAAAGGGCCGAAAUUUUCAGAAGUCUAAAACAGGAUCAGUUCUUGCAUUCAAAGUCAGCUUUAGAGAUUUUAAUCCUCUUGAUUCAUACAUAUGGUUUGAACUCUAUGGCUCACCAUCUGAUCGAGACGUUAACAUUUUCGGUAGUGUUAUCCAGGC
Molecule: unclassified non-coding RNA, 418 nt
Filed under: Hevea brasiliensis (rubber tree)
Lineage: Eukaryota; Viridiplantae; Streptophyta; Magnoliopsida; Malpighiales; Euphorbiaceae
Source: RNAcentral